AACUAACAAGGAUUCCCCUAGUAACUGCGAGUGAAGCGGGAUGAGCUCAAAUUUAAAAUCUGGCGUCUUCGGCGUCCGAGUUGUAAUUUAGAGAAGCGUUUUCCGCGCCGGACCGUGUACAAGUCUCCUGGAACGGAGCGUCAUAGAGGGUGAGAAUCCCGUCUUUGACACGGACCCCCGGUGCUCUGUGAUACGCUCUCGAAGAGUCGAGUUGUUUGGGAAUGCAGCUCAAAAUGGGUGGUGAACUCCAUCUAAAGCUAAAUAUUGGCGAGAUACCGAUAGCGAACAAUUACCGUGAGGGAAAGAUGAAAA
This 312-nucleotide ribosomal RNA is filed under the name Helicotheca tamesis. RNAcentral's name for it is "partial Eukaryotic large subunit ribosomal RNA". It matches the Rfam family "Eukaryotic large subunit ribosomal RNA", at positions 63 to 370 of the family's 3401-position model. The record is from RNAcentral. Lineage: Eukaryota; Bacillariophyta; Thalassiosirophyceae; Lithodesmiales; Lithodesmiaceae.